RNAcentral lists this transfer RNA (74 nucleotides) under Planctomycetota bacterium. RNAcentral's name for it is "Planctomycetes bacterium (groundwater metagenome) tRNA-Arg". It matches the Rfam family "tRNA". Rfam says of the family: Transfer RNA (tRNA) molecules are approximately 80 nucleotides in length. Their secondary structure includes four short double-helical elements and three loops (D, anti-codon, and T loops). The record is from RNAcentral. Lineage: Bacteria; Pseudomonadati; Planctomycetota.
GCGCCCAUAGCUCAAUUGGAUAGAGCGUUGGCCUCCGGAGCCAAAGGUUGCAGGUUCGAAUCCUGCUGGGCGCG